CAGAGUUCAUGCCCUAACGGGUAGAUCUCCCACCCUUGAGUAUUAUACUUUUGUUGCUUUGGCGGGCCGCCUAGGCUACCGGCUUCGGCUGGUGAGUGCCCGCCAGAGGACCCAAAAACUCUGAAUUAUAGUGUUGUCUGAGUACUAUAAAAUAGUUA
Molecule: unclassified non-coding RNA, 158 nt
Filed under: uncultured Helotiales
Lineage: Eukaryota; Fungi; Ascomycota; Leotiomycetes; Helotiales
Description: sequence contains ITS1
Source: RNAcentral